GUUAUUAAUAACAGCCCAGCGAGUCUCCUGAGCCACCUAGGAGCAGAUGGUGUUUUUCACAAAAGAGAGAGAUCACCUCCUUGACUUUGGACUUCGCUUAUCAAACCCCUAAACAGAACCAAGGUUGCUAAGAGACCACCUGUUCUGAAUGCACUUUGUCCUAGGAAGAGCAGCCAGAGAGAAAACCGAGGCGCAGCAUUAUCUACCACUACCCGGAUUAAAUCAGGAAGCAGAAGCAUUUUGGAUAUGACAUG
Molecule: long non-coding RNA, 254 nt
Organism: Budorcas taxicolor (takin)
Lineage: Eukaryota; Metazoa; Chordata; Mammalia; Artiodactyla; Bovidae
Exons: 3
Source: RefSeq, a predicted model, not a curated record